UCUGGUUUGAAUUGACACGGAACAAAUACCGAACCGGGAGCACCUCUCCUGCUUGUGUGAGAGAUGGCCCCGACACCUCGGCAGCAGAUGCAGAUGCAGAUGGAUGGACGCCGACCCCGCAGUGACGGAGCAGCCAGGCAGCUGCAAUAUUAAGCAAAGAAGAAAUUGAAUGGGGGUGUGCUUCUCCACACAUUCUUUUAUCUUCCCUGACGAGGUCUUACAGAAGUUCUCCCUUGUUAUAACAACGCUCAGUGUUUCUUUGAUGACUGCUGCUUUGAAUCACUGCUGGGGUCCACAUCUAUGAAGUUCACUGCCAUUCAAAGCAGCCUACAGUAUGAUGUGACUGGAUAUUGUUGCAUCGUAAGUUUGAAGACCAACCUUGGAACUGUUUUAUUUAACACUGACUGAAUCCACACAAACAGUAAAAUUGUUACCAUUUCAAACAAGACACAGCUGCAAAAGGCCGACAGACCGAUCAAAUCCCUUACUGGGAAAUUUAAAGACAUGAGGUCACUUAACUUUAGGGCCAGACUGAAAAAGACAAG
Betta splendens (Siamese fighting fish) is the source of this 545-nucleotide long non-coding RNA. RefSeq lists it as uncharacterized. The record is from RefSeq and is a predicted model, not a curated record. The transcript is spliced from 3 exons. Lineage: Eukaryota; Metazoa; Chordata; Actinopteri; Anabantiformes; Osphronemidae.